GUCUGUGCCAUACCAUCCUGAACAUGCCUGAUCUCGUGUGAUCUCAGAAGCUAAGCAGGGUUGUGCCUGAUUAGUAUUUGGAUGGGAGACCACCCGGGAAUACUGGGUGCUGUAGGCU
Ribosomal RNA from Gorilla gorilla gorilla (western lowland gorilla), 118 nucleotides. Lineage: Eukaryota; Metazoa; Chordata; Mammalia; Primates; Hominidae. The record is from Ensembl.